CAAUAGCGUAUAUUAAAGUUGUUGCGGUUAAAAAGCUCGUAGUUGGAUUUCUGCUGAGAACGACCGGUCCGCCCUUUGGGUGUGUAUCUGGCUCUUUCUUGGCAUCUUCUUGGUGAACGUUGCUGCACUUGACUGUGUGGAGCGCUACCCAGGACUUUUACUUUGAGGAAAUUAGAGUGUUUCAAGCAGGCAUACGCCUUGAAUACAUUAGCAUGGAAUAAUAAGAUAGGACCUCGGUUCUAUUUUGUUGGUUUCUAGAGCUGAGGUAAUGAUUAAUAGGGAUAGUUGGGGGCAUUCGUAUUUAACUGUCAGAGGGGAAAUUCUUGGAUUUGUUAAAGACGGACUACUGCGAAAGCAUUUGCCAAGGAUGUUUUCAUUGA
Molecule: ribosomal RNA, 380 nt
Filed under: uncultured eukaryote
Lineage: Eukaryota
Description: partial 18S ribosomal RNA
Rfam family: Eukaryotic small subunit ribosomal RNA
Source: RNAcentral